GCAGUGGUGGGUCAGUGGUAGGAUUCUCACCUUCCAUGCAGAAGACCUGGGUUCGAUUCCCUGCCAAUGCA
Molecule: transfer RNA, 71 nt
Filed under: Loxodonta africana (African savanna elephant)
Lineage: Eukaryota; Metazoa; Chordata; Mammalia; Proboscidea; Elephantidae
Rfam family: tRNA
About the family: Transfer RNA (tRNA) molecules are approximately 80 nucleotides in length. Their secondary structure includes four short double-helical elements and three loops (D, anti-codon, and T loops). Further hydrogen bonds mediate the characteristic L-shaped molecular structure. tRNAs have two regions of fundamental functional importance: the anti-codon, which is responsible for specific mRNA codon recognition, and the 3' end, to which the tRNAs corresponding amino acid is attached (by aminoacyl-tRNA synthetases). tRNAs cope with the degeneracy of the genetic code in two manners: having more than one tRNA (with a specific anti-codon) for a particular amino acid; and 'wobble' base-pairing, i.e. permitting non-standard base-pairing at the 3rd anti-codon position.
Source: Rfam by way of RNAcentral